RNAcentral lists this long non-coding RNA (212 nucleotides) under Jatropha curcas. RNAcentral's name for it is "long non-coding RNA (JCUR_LNC002803)". The record is from RNAcentral. Lineage: Eukaryota; Viridiplantae; Streptophyta; Magnoliopsida; Malpighiales; Euphorbiaceae.
AAGGACAUAGUAAAAAAUGAUUAGACUAUCCUAUAUAAGGUGUUUUCAUAGGGGAUGCGAGAUAGGGUAGUGUAAGAGGGUAAGGUAUUUGGACUUGACCCUUGUGAUGUGGGUUGGUAUGACCAAACAAUGUAGGGUAGUGUUGGUAGGCUAGGACACCUAGGAUAGGACCCAAUGGGAUGUGAUAUGUAAGGUAGAGUGCUUGGGGUUGG